UGCACGACGCCUGAGGACAUCGACAAGACAACAUCGUUACUGAACGAGCUGAACGGCGAGGUAUCGAGGGAUUCAUUACCUGGCCUGACCUGACCUGAAAUGCAAUCAGUUUGUUUUAACUGUGAGGGAGCGCAGAAAAGCCGAUCGAUCAGAAGGAGAAGAGAAGGUGACCAAGAGAGUAUCAGCAUCGAAAUACGGUUCCUCGGGAAGACAUAGAAGCAGCCGCCACACACACACAUACAUACACGCGCGCAACUCUUUUCGUUUGCUGGUUAUCGAGAGGAAACCUGGAAAGAAAUUAUCGUUGCUGAAAAAUAAUCUGCCAGUUCCCCUUGGAAUUGAAAAUUACAUUCAAGCGAGUUUAUUUUAAUGUUUUCUAUCCAUAUAAUACUGCGACCACAUACAUUUGGUUUUGUGAUUUGUCAAUCAAGUGCAGUUAACAGGAAAGCUUCUGAAGAUUAUUCUUCAGAACAAGGUUUUUUCUAUCCAAUAUUGAAUGCAUAAAACCUUGAGUCUUCAAAGUAACACUCUCGUUUUUGAAGUCACCCAAAUAUUUAUUUAUUCAUUCAUUCAGGAUGGAUUUAGAUUCAACUUCAAACAAAUGAUCUCUAAAUCAACGAUAGUCCUACGUCACCCUUGCGGUUAUACCAUAGAUAUAACCCACUUCCUGUUUUUUUACGGAACCCACUCUCCAUUUCAGAGGAGGGAGGGGUGUCAUACCAUCAUAAAAACAUUUCUCGUAUCCAAAACCACUCAAAUCCCAAAUUUGGCCCCAUUUGCUUGAUUAGUUCUCGAGUUAUGUAGAAGUUUGUGUUUCACUUGUAUGGCAGCCCCCUUGUCUUUAGAGAGGGGGAAGGAUUGUCAAACUAUCAUAUAAACAAUUAUUGCCCCUUAAAUUUUCCAUAUGCCGAUUUUCUUUCCGUUUGCUUGAUUUGUUUUCGAGUUAUACAGAAAUUUGGGUUUCAUUUGUAUGGCAGCUCCCCUCCAGAGAGGGGAGAGGAAUGCCAAUUCACCAUAGACACGUUUUGUACCCCCUAAAAUCUCAACAUGCCAAAUUUGGCUCGAUUUACUUGAUUGGUUCUCGAAUUAUGCAGAAAUUUGUGUUUCAUUUGUAUGGUGGUCUCCCCUUAGAGAGGGACUAGGAGGGUCGAACCACCAUAGAAACGUUUAUCGAUCCCUAAAAUCUCUAUAUGCCAAGUUUUAUUCCAUUUGCUUGAUUAGUUCUUGAGUUAUGCAGAAAUUCGUGCUUCAUUUGUGUGGCAGCCCUCUUCCCCCUUAGAGAGGGGAGGAAUGUCUAACCACCACAGAAACAUUGCACCCUCAAACCUCUUCAUGCCAAAUUUGGUUUCAUUUGGUUGAUUAAUUCUCGAAUAAUGCAGAAAUUUAUGUUUCAUUUGUAUGGCGGUCCCCAUUAGAGAGGGGGGAGGGGUCUCGAACUCGAACUAUCAUAAGAACAAAGAACAAUUUCGUUAGCGCAAACAUCAACGCUUAUCACGAUGUAAUUGCAAAACAUAUGGGCAUUAAAUUUUCCAAAUUUUUCUAUGUUUAUUCAGAGUUUUCCGAAAAUUUUCAAUUGUCAUGUUUGGUUGAAAUAUGUGUAAUAUUAUUAUGGGACCCUUCCCCUCCUUCCAGAGGAGGGAGCAGUGUCAAACCGAUUAUCGCCCCCUAAAACCUACACAUGCCAUUGCUUCAUUAGUUCUAGAGUUAUGUAGAACCCAUCCCCUUCUUUUAGAGAGAAAAAAAACAAAUACUUCAACGGAGGACGAUUUGGAAAACUUGGGAGCAGGGUUGCCAACUAUUAUUUCCAAAAAUCAGAAAUAAUACAAAUAAAAAUUAGGAAUUAAACAGGACAGCUGGCCGUAGAAUUGAAGAUUUUACCAUUUAGCGAAUUUUGCAAGAAUCUUUUGAUCGUUUAUAUCUUUUUCCUAAAAUCCUAUAGCAUCCUACAUUGAAUUAAUCGUCUACACUUUGGUAUGAAUCUUUACUCAUUGAAUGAGGAAAGCAUAUCAGCAGUAGAUGAAUAGUUGAUUUUUUUUAAAUUUUGAUUCGAUUCUAGAUACAUUUCCUAUAGAUUCACUAUUGGAGUAGAUUCUACUUUGAUUCUGACGGGCAAAUGUUAUAGAAAAUCUUAUCGUAUUCACCCUCAUUCUUGUUUACGCUCGUAUCUGACUUUUGUUCGAAGGACUUGAUUCAAACAAUUUCGAAAAAUACAUUCUUGUUUUCGUACGAAUUCGUUCGAACAGGACCUUUUUCGAACGUGAACAUGUUGAAGUAUUCAGAUGCAAGAUUUCAUGCAUCACUAAAAUUUCUGUAAUUUCUGUAAAUUUGAGUAAUAAUACACUCUGGAACAUAUUCUUUCAUCAAUAACAUUGCGGCUACUCGUAUAUACAUAUCAUACACGCUAAUGUUGUUUCUUAAACUUAUUCUCGUUUUUUUUUUACUAAUAAUUUUCAAUCUGAUGGAGUAAAAAGUAUAACAAUCAGGAGAACUCACGAUCAUUUCUGAAAAAUCAGGCAAAAUUGAGCUGAGCCGCCGCUUAUGAACGAGUUUGAAGCCCCAAUUACAUCGCAGCUAUUGAACUUGACGAAGCAAAUCAUCAAAUGAUUUUACUUCUUAUCGACGUGUACUACACCAGUACGAAGCUUUCUGUAAUCAGUCGGACAUCGUCCCGUAGAUGGGCAGCAUCGAGCCCGAAACCGGUCGACUAAAAAGGUAAAUUUACCAUCCUUUUUAUGUUUGUAAGAACCAUAAGUGUUGUGUCCUGUCGCGUUCCGCGUGUUGUGUGUGUUAAAAUUGAGUAUUUGUCAGAAUAUCAGGGAACGUACCAAAAAGUCUGGGAAAUCCUGAAAAAUCAGGAAGGUUGGCAUUUCUGCUUGAAAGAAUGCCAGCAAGCUUUAACUUUGAUGCUUUCAAUUUUAAAAAACGUACUAAUUGAUUGAAAUAACUGAAAAUGAAUAUACGUUAGGGUGACAAUGAAAAUGGUCAUCUCGAAUUUCAAAAAGUUGUUCACAUUCUCGAAAAACACCCUAUGCGAAAUAUCAGCUCAAUCGCACUUAAGGACUUUUUGUGCAAAUCAACAUUCCGCAGCACGUUCCAAAUGAAAAAUCGAGAUAACAAUUUUUUUUGGCACCCAAAACCAUACGUUUUGCCUCGUAUUCGGAAAAAAAAUAGUCCAGAGUGUCGAUUUUGACAAAAAACAAAAUUCAAUAUAACAGUAGAUCUCGAUGUUUCAUGUAAUUUUCAGACAUGUCGCAUCAAAAAAUUUUUUUUAGACCCCCAUUUCCUUUACUCUCCCUUGAGUGAUUUUUUGAUUUUCAAAAAACUCAAACUUUGACCGCUUUCCGCCACUUCCCCUUAAGUCCGAUUAACACGUUCAUCGCCCAACGUGACGUUUCUGAGUUUCUUGCGGGGUCUAACUUGCGGAUAAAUUAUUGAAUAAAAAUCAAACUUAUCUUUUAAAUAAUCCAGCUUUUUUUCUAAUUUGAAGACGAAUUUACAAACAUGCAUCUCAAAUCUAUUCACGGUUUAAUGAAUAGGGGCUUCAAAUUCUGGAUUGUUCAGCCUGUUUACCAGAUCAAAACCCUAGCAAGAACCUAUCAAGAAUGUGUUAUUUGAACUGAUUUAGCACUAAAGAUGACCUACGAAUAAGAAACUUAUUGAAAUUUAUGUGAGAUUGACGUUAAUUUUGUGAAGGAUUGAGAGUUUUUCCAUCUGGUUCUAUAGUUAUGAAACACUGGAAUUUUUUUUUUCAAUGUUUCGUGUCUGAACACAAUAAUAAAGUUGAAAUGGUCUUAAAGGUCAGUCUUAUAGAUGAAUAUAGUUAUUAUAUCCUAAACUAUAUACUCCAAUUCAACCGACUUCAUACACAUUGUCGUGAAACGCAAUGUAUAAUAUGGGUUUCGCAAAAAACUGCAGUGCAAACCAUUCGUAAUAUAAAUUAAUAAAAAAUAUAGUAUAAACAUUAUAUUAAUAUGGUCAUGAUUUAAUGAUAUUUCUACAUAUCAUAAAGUCACAUUUAGGUGCCAACUUCCUUCUACAAAUUCUAUUGAAUUUGAAAGAGGAAAGUUUCACCCAUAUCUGGGUGACGGGCGACGAACGUGUUUUAUUUUUUUAUUUUUUAUUUUAUUUCACCAUCUUCGACAACGUCGUACAGACUGAAACCUUAAGAUCUAAAUUAUUCUAAGUUUCUUAUUCUAGUACUAAACACAUUCUUGGACAGAGUAAAAUCAAACACAUCACUAACAUUGUUAAAAGAACGUAAACACAAAUUGAAACUAUUGUUGAAACCAUAAUUCGUUCUAUGGAAUGGUAUAAGAAAUAACGAUGAAUUACGAAAACGACGGGGAGGAAUAUUCCACGGAACUUGACGUAACAGUUCGGGACAGUCCACAUUGCCGGUUAUUAGCUUAUAAAUAAAUAUUCUUUGUAGUUUGAUACGCCUGGCUGAUAGUGUUUCCAAGUCAAUCAGUUUGCAACGAUCAGCAUAACUCGGAAGAUUUAUCGGAUCAUUCCAAGGGAGCUGUCGCAAAGCAAACCGCAUGAAACUUCUCUGGAUUCGCUCCAACGCAACGAUUUUUGUAACGAGGAAUGGGGACCAAACCGGUGCAGCAUAUUCCAUGAUGCUCCGAACUAGCGCGCAGUAUAACUUUUUGAGGCAAUACACGUCAGAAAAUCCAGAAGCAUGGCGACGAAUGAAACCGAGCACCGUGUAUGCUUUAGCGGUUGUGAUUACUACACUGGAGACAAACAUUAGUAAAUGAAGCUACCAAAUCUUUAGUAGUUGAAACAUUGGUAAAAUGUACAAAUUUUUUGUACAUAUUACCAAAAUCCGGUAAAACUGAUGUCAGAUGUAAUGUACAUCCCUACCAGAGAUUCGUACAUUUUACUUCAUGCCAUUUGUAACCUUCAAUGUUUUCAUUCCUAAUGGGCACCUUACACGAUCAACCGGAUUGACAAUAAGUGUCUUCAAUAUCGUGACAGCUAGGCUUUCAACAUCUGAUCUAACCUCAAUCAAUAUUUUUCCACCUUACACGGUCAAUAUCGCCCUCAACCCGAGAUAACGAAAAUAUCCGCGAUGGCUAGUGGCGACAUUCGAGUUUGGGAUCCAAACUAUUCUCUAUCAGAUUAGAAGGCUAAAAGGCAAUUUUCAAUUGGUAAAAUUUGAAUGAAAAUAUCUACUUGGUAUUAUUUGAAGUUGAAGCGCGUAGUCCUAACCUUAACUUAACCUACUUCCUCUGAAUUUUCAGAUAUUCCUACUAAAAUGUAUUAUUAUAAUAUAACGUCAAUUUCAGACAUAAUUUUUGUAUGGGAUUUUCUCACCACUUGCAGAAAAAAAGUGAUUUGCAUUGACAUAGAAUACUAAUUUGAUUCGUAAAAGUUAAUUUUCAUUCAUUAUUUACACUUCAGAAUUCGGUUUUUCUUCUCAAAAAUACAUCAUAAUACUCGUUUCACAAAUACAGACUGUUCCUUUCAGUUUCAGAGAUGCCAGAUUAUUUUAGUUUGCGAAAAUAUAUGCAAGUUAUUUUAUCUGCAAGCAAAUGUUUUUAUUCCAUAAAUGAGACUAUGACAGUAGAACCUCGAUUAUCCGCGAGCGGAUGAUCCGCCCUGCGGAUUAUUCGUGACUGCGAGUUCCAUAGUAAAUCAAUAGGCCUUUCCGGAAUUUGUUAGUGAGUGGUAGGCCCAUGCUCUUUUGUUGUGGUCAUGGCUUUUACAUUAUUUAGCCACUGGUGUACACGACCUUAUAGAUGGAUAGUUGAUUGAUUUCUGUAUUGAUAGAACAUAGUUUUUAUGUUGAAACAUCUCUUUUCGUGUUUGCAUUUUUUUGUCCUUUAAUGGGUCAUCCGCGAUUUUCGUUAAUCGCGGUGAGUUUGCCCGACUAUUCCGCGGAUAAUCGGGAUUCUACUGUAGCUUGAAUUAACACAUGAUGUUUUUUCAUCUGUGAUUUUCCCAGAUCUUCUCAUUCUCCAAAUUUUAUAGCGGAGUGUGAAGAAACACACAACCCGCUCACUAGCGCAAAGAAUGACCGAGUUCAACGUUAAAAAAUUCCUAAAACGUUUUUAAGUUUCAUCCACUCUCUCACCAUCACAUUGUCAGUUUACUUUGAAGUUUUGAUUUGUAUCGUGAAAAGUACCGUAUUUUGCUAUUCAAAGUAUCGGUUUUCCAAACCAAAAGCUUCCAUUUAUGAUUCCUACAAUUUCAGUAGUUUAUAAAUUUUAAUUGCAAUCGCAAAAAAGACUAACAAAAAUUAAAUGUGCGCUUGCAUAUCUGGCAACUCAGUCUGGAAGUCCGUGAGGUAAAACGUCAACAUCAUGCAUCUAUAUGAAAUGUCACGAUAUUGAUGCUCGAAAAUCAGAAAAUCCGGAUUUCUGCGUCGUCGGCCAUGUUCAGCUGUCAUUAUGCUCUCAAAUGUCAUCAUAUUGUCAAUAAAGUUGACCGUGUAAGGUCCGCUUAACGACUGUGAAGUGCGCACUUCGUAAUCGCCAUUUUUUUGUGGAAGCGAAGCAAUUCGGAGAUAUUCCGAAAUAUACUCAUUUUGGACGACGUUUCUUCUAUUCUACUACUGAUAGAAGCAUUUCCAUUUGCGAUCAAUCGUAAACGAACAUUUUACAACAGCCAUGAUUCGAUGCUAAUAUUUGGCGAUACAAACUAGGGAAAGGAAGAACCAAUAACGAUUCACCAUCGGUCCGUGCAAACGGUAUCAAAUAAGCGUAUCUUUUCGUCGACCAACGGCAGCGACCAGCGAAUCAACAAGUGCAGCUGAUUCCAGCACGAAUAGCUCUUCUGUUUCUUCACUGGAGCAUCGAAAAUCCCUAUCAGGCUCAGGUGCAGGCAAGAAUCAAUGAAGGAGGAGCAAGCUACGCUACCGCAAGUAUAGUCAUUUGCUCAUAAAAUUUACAAGAUGUAUCGAAACUCUCUAGGAAAAGUGUCGUCAUUCGUUUUUUCUACAAACUGAUAACCUCUGCGUGAUAAUGAUGUGUCAGGAAGAUCCAAUCAACUGCUUUUCUCAACCGGAGGAUGACAUGGAACAUGAAGAACGUCAGAACCGACUACGUGCUCUGUGCAAUCAUCAGGAUCUGUUCCAGGAGGAGAGUGUUGAAUUUGAUACUGGAAAGCAUCGACAAAAUCAAUGUCAUAUCGUCACUAGGUUUCAUGAUUUCCUCCUAGCUAGUGAUGAAAAAGUUGGGAGUCGAUAUCCGGAUAUCUGUUCCAACUACUAGCGGUUGUCAUCAAGGAAAACUCAGUUUGCUAACUCAAAUCAUUUUAAUUGGCUCAUCCCCCAUCUUGGAACGCAAGCAUCUAGUAAGGACUCCGGAUCGAUUUGUAAAUAUCUCGCCUCUCGAGAACCAUAAUCGUGCUCCGAUGAUUUUGUAUGUGUUGUGUUCACUGUGCGUUGGUAAUGGUCGGUAUGGUUGGUUGGUCGGUAAUCCUAAUAUCCUCGUUCAUCGUGUUGAGGAAUCUGGGGUGUACCAGAAGUGUUACUUUGAAAUUACUAUGGACCAUAACGGACAAACGUGCACAAACAUGACACCGCGUUUGCGAAUUAAUUGGGCCAAUACUGCUGAAUAUGUUGAGGAUGUAAAAAUGGGGCGAAAAUGACGUUGGUAAUAAUUUGCAUACUCAUGAUUCCGGACGUGACAAAACUAUUCAUCGCAAAAGGAAUGGAAUUGCACGCUAGAUCUCAGCGUCGGUGAUACGGUUUAUGUUCAAUGGAGAGCCAAUGCAUGUUUGAUUUUAAUCUAACUUGAAUGUUUUUUUUUCCGGUGAUGAGCUGCUUGUCGAAGCUAAGUUGUCAAUUUUAUUUUGGUUUCCGCGUUUCUGUCUGCGAUAUUGAACCCUAAGAUGGAAGAAUUCGGCGAUCUGCUGGUCGAGAGCACUCACAACUUGUGAGACAAAGAGCGAAUUCAACAAAGUUAACCAAAGACAACGAAAACCAUCGUAGCUCCCAUUCAGUUCCGUACAGCAUAUACGGCUAUGGCGACUAUCAGAAAGCUGUUGAUCUAUGGAUAUAAUUCGGACCAACAAACUGGUGAGACGAAUGAGCCCCUUGCGGCGGAAGCAUUCAGACAGAACUUCGCAACCAUCAGAACGCACCUAGCGGAGAAGACGUAUGCUGUUAUGUCAAGACAGACAUACUUUUAGUUUGAGGUACGGACUGUGGGACUGAUGAGGGACUGCAAUUCCGAAACGAUGUUGGGGAAUGAUGAUCCAUCGUGUGCUUUUGAUGGCUACAAUAUAAGCAUGAGCACAAAUAUCGAAUCCGAUUGUUCAAUACGACCAAUCACGACCCCUCAAUCCAAUGUAGUUGUUCUGUUACAAGAAAACAAGCCCCAAAUUCCUACUGAAGACACAUUUCCACUGCCUCACCAAGAGCAAAUCACAUAGAUGGUUGCCGAUAAAUUUCAAAUGUAAGUUUAUAUGAACCCCCUUCUUCGAACUCUGGGGCAUUCCAGAGCGUCACAAUUAAAUGGGCAAGUAAACUACACCUGCGCAGGGUCGAAGAUUUCGGUAGGCGAUACCUGGUCGGAGACGUAAUCGUUUUCUUCUUAAAUAUCCACGACAAGAUCAGCACGAGAGGAAUAAAUACGAACUAAGAGUACUGGGUACUGGUGUCAUCAACUUCCUGCUAAUCAGCGCCUCAUUCUCUAGAGACAGCGAUGCAGUAGAAGGAGUUAUUGCGACGAGAAUUAUUGUUGUUUUCAUAUUUUUUUGACGUAGGACUACGUCUUUCAUUUCUAUACCGGGGUGUAAAAUCAAAGUUUCGAAAACGCAAGCGUUACGCCGGAGACCGAGAUUUUGAGCGUUAAUAGCUAACAACUGAACGAAAUGGUAUGAUAAACACUUCAUUCGAAACAUAAAAUGUCUACGCGUUAUAUACUUGUUACUUUUUGAUCCAAAAACUUGUUUCAAUAGUCUUAAAAUUGCUUCCAAAACAGGCUAUUGAAAUCACCAAUCGGUAUAUAAGCGAGCGCCGCUCGGAAAUCCACUCAGUUCUAAUUGAACAGCGAUUGGAGCAUGUUGUCGCUGUUGUGGUGAAGCUCUUCGUUCAUCAUGGAAGCGCGGAUGAACGGUGUCACCAAGAGCCUGUUUGUGCACCCUAGGCCAGAAGGGAAUCCAUCAGGAGGAGAGUGACACACAUACACGCGCGGAAUUCUUUCCGUUUGGAUGCCAUUCAGCAUCGAGAAAGUUCCGGAAAGAUCUAAUCAUUUCUGGAAAAUAAUCUGCCAGUUCCUCUGGGAAUUUAAAAAUACAUUCAUGUGAAAGAGUUUAUUUUAAUGUUUUCUAACCAUAUAACACAGCGAUCAAAUACAUUCGAUUUUGUAAUUUUUCAACCAAGUGUAAUUUGCAGGAAAGCUUCUGAAGAUUAUUCUUCCCCAUCAGUAGGAUAUUUCCGUAUCCAAUAUUGUAUGCGUACGCAAUCGAUUAUUGCUCAGUCGCCGAAAGUUUCGAGCUCAGAGAGUUCAUUCCUCUCUAGUUUGCCUUCCAAAUUGCCAUCGUAAACCACGCCUUCUCUCGAUUCAAUCACGCACAAAAAGCAUACUUAAGCGAUAUUCUGGUAGUGAGACACAUUCAUUUUUCGUGAAGACAUCGACAAGACAACAUCGUUGCCUAAACGUGCUGGAGGAGGUGGGCGGCGAAGGAUCGUCACAUACACGCGCAGAAUUUUUUCCAUUCAGCAUCGAGAAAGUUCCGGAAAGAUCUAAUCAUUGCUGGAAAAUAUAAUCUGCCAGUUCCUCUGGGAAUUUAAAAAUACAUUCAUGCGAAAGAGUUUAUUUGAAUGUUUUCUAUCCAUGUAACACUGUGAUCAAAUAUGUUUCAAUCAAGUGCUAUUAACAGAUGGUUAUCGAGUUAGCAUAAACCACUGGUGGGCUUCCAGUAUCGAGGAAAAUGUGGAAAUAUCUAAUCGUUACUGAAAAUAAUCUGCCAGUUCCCCUUGGAAUUGAAAAUUACAUUCAAGCGAAAGAGUUUACUUUAAUGUUUUCUAUCCAUAAAAUAUUCAUAUAAUACAUUUGGGUUUGUGAUUUGUCAAUCAAGUACAGUUAGCAGGAAAGCUUCUGAAGAUUAUUCUUCAGAACAAGGUUUUUCGUAUCCUAUAUUGGAUGCAUAAAACCGUAACGCUCUCGUUUUCGAAGUCCCCCGAAUAUUCAUUUAUUCAUUCAUUCAGAAUGGAUUUAGAUUCAAUUUCAAACAAAUGAUCUCUAAAUCAACGAUAGUCCUGCGUCACCCUUGCGGUUAUACCAUAGAUAUAACCCACUUCCUGUUUUUAUUGUAGAACUAUUGAAAUUGUAUAUAGAAUAAGUUAUUAGUGAAAUAUUAUAUUAAAAUAACAUGUUAUCAAAC
This is a long non-coding RNA of Toxorhynchites rutilus septentrionalis, 10338 nucleotides long. RefSeq lists it as uncharacterized. The transcript is spliced from 5 exons. The record is from RefSeq and is a predicted model, not a curated record. Lineage: Eukaryota; Metazoa; Arthropoda; Insecta; Diptera; Culicidae.